This is a non-coding RNA of Chaetomium strumarium, 87 nucleotides long. NCBI's taxonomy places the organism in Eukaryota, Fungi, Ascomycota, Sordariomycetes, Sordariales, Chaetomiaceae. The record is from the annotation of a RefSeq genome assembly.
GCCCGCAUGGCUCAGUGGUAGAGCGCACCACUAGUAUCAGGUUACUAGGUCAUGGUGAGGUCGUCAGUUCGAUUCUGGCUGUGGGCA